UACGGAGGGUGCAAGCGUUAUCCGGAUUCACUGGGUUUAAAGGGUGCGUAGGAGGGCAGGGAAGUCAGUGGUGAAAUCCUAGGGCUUAACCCUAGAACUGCCGUUGAUACUCUCUGUCUUGAAUGCCGUGGAGGUGAGCGGAAUAUGUCAUGUAGCGGUGAAAUGCUUAGAUAUGACAUAGAACACCGAUUGCGAAGGCAGCUCGCUACACGAACAUUGACUCUGAGGCACGAAAGCGUGGGGAUCAAACAGG
Molecule: ribosomal RNA, 253 nt
Filed under: uncultured bacterium
Lineage: Bacteria
Description: partial 16S ribosomal RNA
Rfam family: Bacterial small subunit ribosomal RNA
Source: RNAcentral